This 59-nucleotide transfer RNA is filed under the name Okapia johnstoni (okapi). RNAcentral describes it as "tRNA-Ser". Lineage: Eukaryota; Metazoa; Chordata; Mammalia; Artiodactyla; Giraffidae. The record is from RNAcentral.
GAAAAAGCAUGCAAGAACUGCUAACUCUACAUCCCGUGUCUAACAACACGGCUUUUUCA